UUUCUUUUGACUGGUCAAAACAUUUGAUUGUAAUCAAAUUUUUUUGCUCUUUUAGUCAAAGAAAACAGUAUAAUGUUUAGAAUAAACAAAACUUGAGUGAUGAUAUUUGGGGAAUUUUGGGAAAAAAAUAAAAUAAAAAGAAUGGGCCACUCAGUGUUCUCUGAAGUGGGGAAGUAGCUUGUGCGAAGAAAAGAAUCUCAUAGUAUUAUGAUAUGAUGUUUGUAUAUACGUGCAAAUAAUAAUGCAAAGGAAUCUCUAUGCGUGGAUAAGGGAAAAA
Molecule: long non-coding RNA, 277 nt
Filed under: Capsella rubella
Lineage: Eukaryota; Viridiplantae; Streptophyta; Magnoliopsida; Brassicales; Brassicaceae
Description: long non-coding RNA (CRUB_LNC003212)
Source: RNAcentral